Molecule: ribosomal RNA, 928 nt
Filed under: Halomonas caseinilytica
Lineage: Bacteria; Pseudomonadati; Pseudomonadota; Gammaproteobacteria; Oceanospirillales; Halomonadaceae
Description: bacterial SSU rRNA
Rfam family: Bacterial small subunit ribosomal RNA
Source: RNAcentral
UGCAGUCGAGCGGAACGAUCCCAGCUUGCUGGGAGGCGUCGAGCGGCGGACGGGUGAGUAAUGCAUAGGAAUCUGCCCGAUAGUGGGGGAUAACCUGAGGAAACUCAGGCUAAUACCGCAUACGUCCUACGGGAGAAAGCAGGGGCUCUUCGGACCUUGCGCUAUCGGAUGAGCUUAUGUCGGAUUAGCUGGUUGGUGAGGUAACGGCUCACCAAGGCGACGAUCCGUAGCUGGUCUGAGAGGAUGAUCAGCCACAUCGGGACUGAGACACGGCCCGAACUCCUACGGGAGGCAGCAGUGGGGAAUAUUGGACAAUGGGGGCAACCCUGAUCCAGCCAUGCCGCGUGUGUGAAGAAGGCCCUCGGGUUGUAAAGCACUUUCAGUGAGGAAGAAUGCUUGUCGGUUAAUACCCGGCAAGGGAGACAUCACUCACAGAAGAAGCACCGGCUAACUCCGUGCCAGCAGCCGCGGUAAUACGGAGGGUGCGAGCGUUAAUCGGAAUUACUGGGCGUAAAGCGCGCGUAGGCGGCUUGAUAAGCCGGUUGUGAAAGCCCCGGGCUCAACCUGGGAACGGCAUCCGGAACUGUCAGGCUAGAGUGCAGGAGAGGAAGGUAGAAUUCCCGGUGUAGCGGUGAAAUGCGUAGAGAUCGGGAGGAAUACCAGUGGCGAAGGCGGCCUUCUGGACUGACACUGACGCUGAGGUGCGAAAGCGUGGGUAGCAAACAGGAUUAGAUACCCUGGUAGUCCACGCCGUAAACGAUGUCGACUAGCCGUUGGGGUCCUCGAGACCUUUUGUGGCGCAGUUAACGCACUAAGUCGACCGCCUGGGGAGUACGGCCGCAAGGUUAAAACUCAAUGAAUUGACGGGGGCCCGCACAAGCGGUGGAGCAUGUGGUUUAAUUCGAUGCAACGCGAAGAUCUUACCUAC